This 527-nucleotide ribosomal RNA is filed under the name uncultured bacterium. RNAcentral's name for it is "partial 16S ribosomal RNA". It matches the Rfam family "Bacterial small subunit ribosomal RNA", at positions 355 to 874 of the family's 1533-position model. The record is from RNAcentral.
UGGGGAAUUUUGGACAAUGGGGGAAACCCUGAUCCAGCCAUCCCGCGUGUGCGAUGAAGGCCUUCGGGUUGUAAAGCACUUUUGGCAGGAAAGAAACGUCGCGGGUUAAUACCCCGCGAAACUGACGGUACCUGCAGAAUAAGCACCGGCUAACUACGUGCCAGCAGCCGCGGUAAUACGUAGGGUGCAAGCGUUAAUCGGAAUUACUGGGCGUAAAGCGUGCGCAGGCGGUUCGGAAAGAAAGAUGUGAAAUCCCAGAGCUUAACUUUGGAACUGCAUUUUUUAACUACCGGGCUAGAGUGUGUCAGAGGGAGGUGGAAUUCCGCGUGUAGCAGUGAAAUGCGUAGAUAUGCGGAGGAACACCGAUGGCGAAGGCAGCCUCCUGGGAUAACACUGACGCUCAUGCACGAAAGCGUGGGGAGCAAACAGGAUUAGAUACCCUGGUAGUCCACGCCCUAAACGAUGUCAACUAGCUGUUGGGGCCUUCGGGCCUUGGUAGCGCAGCUAACGCGUGAAGUUGACCGCCU